ACACUAGAACCUAUCCCACCCUCUAGAACAGUGUAUUAGAUAAUCUAGGGGAACUCCUAGUGGGAAUCAAAUCUAAGAUGUCUAGGUCUACAACUCAUCCCAAGCCUCCAACCACUAGGUUGCACCCUGACAGGAAGCUUAUCUAUGGGCACUUAUAUAGGAAACAAUGUAUAUCUCUGUAGGGCUUUAGGAUUCAAAUUCUAAACAGCAAA
Quercus robur (English oak) is the source of this 212-nucleotide long non-coding RNA. RefSeq lists it as uncharacterized. Lineage: Eukaryota; Viridiplantae; Streptophyta; Magnoliopsida; Fagales; Fagaceae. The record is from RefSeq and is a predicted model, not a curated record. The transcript has 2 exons.